CUACUAACAUAUAGGAAUUUUUGAAGGAAGGAAAGCCGAAAAUACCCAAUAUCUUGUUCCAACAGGAUAUUGGGUAUUUCUUUGUUUAUUCUGAAUCUUUCUAUUCUGAAUUCACUUAACGACGAGAUUUAGUAUCCUUUCUUGCACUUUCAUAACUCGUGAAAUGCCGAGUAGGCACGAAUUCCCCCAAUUUGCGACCUACCAUAGGAUUUGUUAUGUAAAUAGGUAUAUGUUCCUUUCCAUUAUGAAUCGCGAUUGUAUGGCCAACCAUUGCGGGUAGAAUGCUAGAUGCCCGGGACCACGUUACUAUUAUUUCUUUCUCCUCCUUCAUAUUAACCUUUUCGAUUUUUGCCAAUAAAUGACGAGCUACAAAAGGAUUCGUUUUUUUUCGUGUCACAGCUGAUUACUCCUUUUUUUCAUUUUAAAGAGUGGCAUCCUAUGUCCACUAUCUCGAUCGAGGUAUGGAGGUCAGAAUAAAUAGAAUAAUGAGAAGGAAAAA
This 499-nucleotide unclassified non-coding RNA is filed under the name Panicum simile. Its description in RNAcentral is "partial miscellaneous RNA". Lineage: Eukaryota; Viridiplantae; Streptophyta; Magnoliopsida; Poales; Poaceae. The record is from RNAcentral.